This 484-nucleotide ribosomal RNA is filed under the name uncultured bacterium. Its description in RNAcentral is "partial 16S ribosomal RNA". It matches the Rfam family "Bacterial small subunit ribosomal RNA", at positions 30 to 507 of the family's 1533-position model. The record is from RNAcentral.
AUUGAACGCUGGCGGCAGGCCUAACACAUGCAAGUCGAGCGGAUGAAGGGAGCUUGCUCCUGGAUUCAGCGGCGGACGGGUGAGUAAUGCCUAGGAAUCUGCCUUGUAGUGGGGGAUAACGUCCGGAAACGGGCGCUAAUACCGCAUACGUCCUGAGGUAGAAAGUGGGGGACCUUCGGACCUCACGCUAUCAGAUGAGCCUAGGUCGGAUUAGCUAGUUGGUGGGGUAAAGGCCUACCAAGGCGACGAUCCGUAACUGGUCUGAGAGGAUGAUCAGUCACACUGGAACUGAGACACGGUCCAGACUCCUACGGGAGGCAGCAGUGGGGAAUAUUGGACAAUGGGCGAAAGCCUGAUCCAGCCAUGCCGCGUGUGUGAAGAAGGUCUUCGGAUUGUAAAGCACUUUAAGUUGGGAGGAAGGGCAGUAAGUUAAUACCUUGCUGUUUUGACGUUACCAACAGAAUAAGCACCGGCUAACUUCGUG